This 180-nucleotide microRNA precursor is filed under the name Oryza nivara. RNAcentral describes it as "MIR807 microRNA precursor family". It matches the Rfam family "MIR807 microRNA precursor family". Lineage: Eukaryota; Viridiplantae; Streptophyta; Magnoliopsida; Poales; Poaceae. The record is from Rfam by way of RNAcentral.
AACCAUAUACACUUGGCAUUUAAUUACAUAUAUUUUGGAUGAUAUAGUUGUUUCACAUAAGACAAGGACAUGGCAUCUUAUUACCAGCCAUCACACAAAAUUAACAGGAUGCCACGUCCCCAUCCUAGAUGGAACAACCACGUCAUCUCACGGAUGAAUCCAUUCAUCGAUAGUGUGGUU